GAACGCACCUUGCGCUCCUUGGUAUUCCGAGGAGCAUGCCUGUUUGAGUGUCAUUAAAUUCUCAACCUAACACCUGUUUUGCAAUGGGUUUUGUUAGGCUUGGAUAUGGGGGCUUGCAGGUCCGCUCUUUUGUGGUCUGCUCCUCUGAAAUGCAUUAGUGGGUUUGUGCCCCUCAUCUAUUGGUGUGAUAAUUAUCUACGCCGUGGGUGAUGGAUUGGCCAUCAAUGAACCUGCUCAUAACCGUCCGUCUCGGACAACUUUGAUCAUUUUGACCUCAAAUCAGGUAAGACUACCCGCUGAACUUAAG
Molecule: unclassified non-coding RNA, 307 nt
Filed under: uncultured fungus
Lineage: Eukaryota; Fungi
Description: sequence contains 5.8S rRNA gene
Rfam family: 5.8S ribosomal RNA (bases 1-53)
Source: RNAcentral